UUUCCUCCCAUCAGAAAAUCACUCAAAAAGAGAGUAUUUAAAGGAAGCCCAAAUCAGGAGAACCUG
This 66-nucleotide non-coding RNA is filed under the name Pongo abelii (Sumatran orangutan). The record is from RNAcentral. Lineage: Eukaryota; Metazoa; Chordata; Mammalia; Primates; Hominidae.